AACAAAAAAACUACGAUGCGACAAAAAAAACUCCUCCGGCAGUUUCUGUGGACGUCGAUGUUUCUGACCAAGCGCUCCCGCCCAUCCUGUAGCCAGCACAGUUUGUGGCUACCCACAAUGGAGCUACGUACUCCUUAUUUUGGCCCGGUCGCCACAAGAGUCCACACUGAUAUCUAUGCUUCCAUGUACAUGCGAGUGAUUUGUAUAAAAUUCCACUAUUCACACUGAAUACGCUCUUAAAGGAACAACACUUUCUCAUCGGCACUACAAUUGAUGACGGCCAGCCUAACACCUCUACUCUGCUUCAGCCUCCUCUGAAAGUGGGUCACGAUGGGGCAAGAACUCAGCUGCUGAGGCGGCGCAGCGUGGGCGCCGCUUGCACAACGGGACUCGUUUUGGAAAGGACUCACUCAGUCGUUAUUCCUCUUCAUAACGCCUCCAACGCCGACGGUGCUGUCAAAUCUGCCGGUCGGUGGGGUUGCGCUGUAUAGGCCGCUUACGGGCUACCGCUGACGAUGAUGAUCGACGGGAUACUGCUGGAGACGAUGCGAUGAUGCGGACGGUCAAUGCAGCCUCAACGUGCGUUGAAAUAGUGGUCGGCGAGACGAUGUGGCAUGUGAUUGGGGCCACUAAAUCCGUGGACAGUUUAUACGGCCAGAGUUAAUCAAGAGACCCAGCGGCCAUUCGUCUACUGCUGGGUCUACAACCUCUGUAGACGUAUAUAAUGCAUCAGUAAAUGUUCAUUCUUUCCACAACUACACGCCUUGCUCUCUUACCAAUUUGCAGGUUAAACAGAACCAAAAAAACGACAGCAGAAUCCCACUGCACAACCGCACUCUUCCAAUAUCCUCAGCAAAAUGUCGAUUCCCGCGUCGGCUCCAUUCCCUGUACCGCGUGAUAAUUCCCAAUCCUUUUUACGUCCGUUUCUUUCCAUUUUUUGCAGCCUUCUCAUACUUCUACGCCAAACAAC
This is a long non-coding RNA of Scaptodrosophila lebanonensis, 970 nucleotides long. RefSeq lists it as uncharacterized. The transcript is spliced from 3 exons. The record is from RefSeq and is a predicted model, not a curated record. NCBI's taxonomy places the organism in Eukaryota, Metazoa, Arthropoda, Insecta, Diptera, Drosophilidae.